AAUUUUGGACAAUGGGGGAAACCCUGAUCCAGCCAUCCCGCGUGUAUGAUGAAGGCCUUCGGGUUGUAAAGUACUUUUGGCUGAGAAGCAAAGGUAUCUCCUAAUACGAGAUACUGCUGACGGUAUCUGCAGAACAAUCACCGGCUAACUAUGCGCCAGCAGCCGGGGUAAUACGUAGGGUGCAAGCGUUAAUCGGAAUUACUGGGCGUAAAGCGUGUGUAGGCGGUUCGGAAAGGAAGAUGUGAAAACCCAGGGCUCAACCUUGGAACUGCAUCUUUAACUGCCGAGCUAGAGUAUGUCAGAGGGGGGUAGAAUUCCACGUGUAGCAGUGAAAUGCGUAGAUAUGUGGAGGAAUACCGAUGGCGAAGGCAGCCCCCUGGGAUAAUACUGACGCUCAGACACGAAAGCGUGGGGAGCAAACAG
This 423-nucleotide ribosomal RNA is filed under the name uncultured bacterium. Its description in RNAcentral is "partial 16S ribosomal RNA". It matches the Rfam family "Bacterial small subunit ribosomal RNA", at positions 360 to 775 of the family's 1533-position model. The record is from RNAcentral.